UCCUCACCUCUACCAAAGUUUAAUCUGUCUCAGAAGUGGUCGCAAUGAAUCUCGGCAACCCGGCACCAACAUCCCGGUUGCAAGCUUAAAGAAAAGCGUGCCACAGGUUGAUCCCGCUGCUGGAUCGAUUUUAACCGAAGCCUCGUUUAGUCAAAAUCCGGGAUCAACCGGUGUCUGAACCCUUUGAGGAUCAGUCCACUCUCAAGUAGUUCCACAAGAGUUCGAAUGGUUGCAAAAGUUUGUCGAUAGUAUGGACAUGAAAACGUUGAACGGAACCACCCCGCUCGAUGAUAAGUGGAAUGAACUGCAGAAUUUUCUGGUCAAAGACGAAUUCAAGUGACAUGUUAGUGUGGCUCGACUGUUUCGGAAAAAAAUUCGUUCCAUGGAUUGUGUGCCAUACAAUCAAGCCCGGAUAAAGCUACCACAUCCACUGAUACAUAAAUGCAGCAUUUGUUAAGGAACUUGGAUUUGGCAGAAGACAGAUAAUUCUUACGCAGACUCCUCUACAAAAUACCGUAAAUGACUGCUGGUUUGGUCUCAGAAAUCGACAGUUAUCGUUUGCCUGAAUACACCAAAUUGAGAUACUUGACACUUCUUGGCCAACGAAAAUCAACCAGGAGCUUAGCUACAUAGACGUAUCUUUCCGGCUGAUCAAACAGUUUGAUCUGUCGCAAUGCAUCGAACGGGCGCUACGGGCAACAAUUCACG
Uranotaenia lowii is the source of this 708-nucleotide long non-coding RNA. RefSeq lists it as uncharacterized. The record is from RefSeq and is a predicted model, not a curated record. NCBI's taxonomy places the organism in Eukaryota, Metazoa, Arthropoda, Insecta, Diptera, Culicidae. The transcript has 4 exons.